AACGUAGGGGGCAAGCGUUGCCCGGAUUCACUGGGCGUAAAGCGCGUGUAGGCGGUCCGUUAAGUCGGAUGUGAAAUCUCCGGGCUCAACUCGGAAAUUGCAUCCGAUACUGGCGGACUUGAGGACGGUAGAGGUCGGUGGAAUUCCCGGUGUACCGGUGAAAUGGGCAGAUAUCGGGAGGAACACCAGUGGCGAAGGCGGCCGACUGGGCCGAUCCUGACGCUGAGACGCGAAAGCCAGGGGAGCGAACCGG
Molecule: ribosomal RNA, 253 nt
Filed under: uncultured bacterium
Lineage: Bacteria
Description: partial 16S ribosomal RNA
Rfam family: Bacterial small subunit ribosomal RNA
Source: RNAcentral